This is an unclassified non-coding RNA of Nannospalax galili (Upper Galilee mountains blind mole rat), 117 nucleotides long. Ensembl annotates it as predicted gene, 27803. The record is from Ensembl. NCBI's taxonomy places the organism in Eukaryota, Metazoa, Chordata, Mammalia, Rodentia, Spalacidae.
UGUGUUGUCUUUGAAUUGGAAAGCCAGAGCUUUUCGCAAAAUAAUUCAGAAGGUUUGCUGACCCUUGAACUUUUCCUGAUGACUCCUUCCCUCUGAACUUCCACUUGUUAAAGUUGC